Molecule: long non-coding RNA, 1720 nt
Organism: Anolis carolinensis (green anole)
Lineage: Eukaryota; Metazoa; Chordata; Lepidosauria; Squamata; Anolidae
Source: Ensembl
AUGCCCCCGCCUCUCCCUCCCUCUUCCGUCAGCCCUGAUUGGCUCAGAGGCAUGCCAACAGUGGGGCUUGGUCACCGCUAUAUCCGAAGACAUCCGAGACAGAAGAAACGAAGGUGCCUUUUGAUUCAAAUUCUUAAUAUUGGGAAGGCAGUGAGCAGAAAUAAGAAAACAAGUGAAAUAUAUCCAAACGACAACUUUGGUAAAAGUGAAUUUAUUUGGAACAAAGAAGGUAAACCUUGCUCCUGAUUAUAUUUCUCCUGAUGGUGAUAUGGGUGGGAGGCAUUAUAUUAGAUAUAUUCAUCUCUGCCAAGGAAAGGUUCAUAGUGUGUGCAUGUUGGAAACAGUAAGAGUGUAUGGAUGGAAAAACUAAGGCAGUAUCUCCACUGACCAUUUAGUGCAGUUUCAAACUGGUAUUAUAUAUAGAUAAACAGAUAGUUUAUUUAAUGCUUAGGGGGGGCCCUUGUGGCACAGUGUGUUAAAGCGCUGAGCUGCUGAACUUGCAGACCAAAAGGUCCCAGGUUCAAAUCCCGGGAGCGGAAUGAGUGCCUGCUGUUAGCCCCAGCUCCUGCCAGCCUAGCAGUUCAAAAACAUGCAAAUGUGAGUAGAUCAAUAGGUACCACUCCGGCGAGUAGGUAACGGCGCUCCAUGCAGUCAUGCUGGCCACGUGACCUUGGAGAUGUCUAUGGACAACGCCGGCUCUUUGGCUUAGAAAUGGAGAUGAGCACCAACCCCCAGAGUCGGUCACGACUGGACUUAAAGUCAGGGGAAACCUUUACCUUUACCUUAAUGCUUAGACCAUAGGUCUUUCACAUAUAGGACAGACAAAAAAUUACAUAAAAAUCAUAUUAUAAAAUACAUCAGGCUAAAGCCACCCCUUUCUUGGUGUGAUCAGAAAUUGGUUUUAGCAAAUGGGAGGGGCAUUGCCAAAGUGUUGAUAUCAGAUACCCAUGCAACCUUCUAUAGGAGUGUUUCUCGAACUGUGUUCCUCAAGGUGUUUCAGACUUCAGUUCCCAGAAAACCCGGCCAGCUUAUCAGCAGUUAGAAAUUGUGGGAGAUGAAGUCGAAAACUUCUGGAGGAGCACUGUUUGAGGAACCUUUAUACUAUAAUUCCCCGAGGAAAUUAUUGAUUUUUAAAGUCAGAGAAAAAUCUGGGCUCAUGUCUAUGUGGCUCACUUUUGUGGCUAUUUGCUGUGUAGAUGCUCCGGUUUGAAGCUAACUUCAAAGUAGAUUACAUUGUCAAUGUAGAUGGGGCCAAUGACAGAAUAUGAAAACAAAGGCAGAGGGAGAAGAAAAUUAAAAUAGAAUUGUGAGGGCAGUCUGGGAAGUUGAUAAUGGUAUUUCCAUAUUUGAUGAUGCUUUGGGUUAGUAUACACUGACUACGUAUCCCAAAUUGGUCCAGAUGUCACUCCUGUCUGUCCAGAAUGUGGCCAGGAACUUUCAGCCUUAAACACAGGAUAAAACAGGUUAUCCUGAUUUUAUACAAUGCUACCAAAAGUUGAAGGUUCCUUGGAGUAAAGGUGUCCUUUCUGGAGGCUGAACCAAGUCCAUUCCAACUGGACCUUCAAGGCUCCGCUCCACCACUGCCCUGGUUUGGGAGCAGAGAGGGGGAAACACCUCGGCAGAACCUGAGGCCGGCCCAAAGCAGCAAUGUGUCAAAUGUGUCAAAUCAGUCCAUGUAGAUGGCCACCUGUUUCCCAGAGCCUACAUGGCCCACGAGAGC